Molecule: RNase P RNA, 504 nt
Filed under: Treponema sp.
Lineage: Bacteria; Pseudomonadati; Spirochaetota; Spirochaetia; Treponematales; Treponemataceae
Description: RNase P RNA component class A
Rfam family: Bacterial RNase P class A
About the family: Ribonuclease P (RNase P) is a ubiquitous endoribonuclease, found in archaea, bacteria and eukarya as well as chloroplasts and mitochondria. Its best characterised activity is the generation of mature 5'-ends of tRNAs by cleaving the 5'-leader elements of precursor-tRNAs.
Source: RNAcentral
GCGAUGAACCAGGCUGCCGCUUUAAGUUCGCCAACGGCGAAUUUAGGGAGGAAAGUCCGGGCUCCGCAGGGCAUGAUGCCGGGUAACGCCCGGGACCUGACCAUACAAUCUUUGAUUGUGUGGUCAGAGACAGACAGCGCCGCAGAAAACAAACCGCCUGACCAUUAAAAACGCUAACUUUACAUUAGUUCUAUGUAUGAUUUUUGGCGUUUUUAGUGGUCAGGUAAGGGUGAAAAGGCGGGGUAAGAGCCCACCUCGGUAUUGGCAACAAUACCGGAAUGGCAAGCCUCAUCAGGAGCAAAGUCAAAUAUGCGCGGGUAAAGGGGUUUCCCCUUUGCCGUCCGGCUGCCCGCCGGAUAAGCGCGGGUAGACUGCUAAAAAGGUACGGAAAUCCCCGCUAUGCCGCAAGGCGGCGAGGAUUUCUUCCGGAAACGGGUCUUUUAGACAGAUGGCAGCGGUCGGUUUAUACCGGCAACAGAACCCGGCUUAUGGUUCAUCGUGUUU